Molecule: long non-coding RNA, 1025 nt
Filed under: Phasianus colchicus (ring-necked pheasant)
Lineage: Eukaryota; Metazoa; Chordata; Aves; Galliformes; Phasianidae
Description: lncRNA (ENSPCLG00000018326.1)
Source: RNAcentral
CCAUCCUCACUUCACAGCCAUCCUCAUCCUCACAGCCAUCCUCACUUCACAGCCAUCCUCACUUCACAGCCAUCCUCAUCCUCACAGCCAUCCUCACCUUCACAGCCAUCCUCAUCCUCACAGCCAUCCUCACUUCACAACCAUCCUCAUCCUCACAGCCAUCCUCAUCCUCACAGCCAUCCUCACCUUACAGCCAUCCUCAUCUUCACAGGCAUCCUCAUCUUCAUGGCCAUCCUCACUUCACAGCCGUCCUCAUCAUCACAGCCAUCCUCAUCGUCAGAGCCAUCCUCAUCCUCACAGCCAUCCUCAUCUUCACAGCCAUCCUCAUCUUCACAGCCAUCCUCAUCUUCACAGUUACCCCCAGAGGUCCCCAUCUUUGGGGGUCACUGUUCCUGGGUGUCCCCAUCUCUGAGUUUCCCCAUCCCUGGGGGUCCCUGUGUCUGGUAGCCCCCACCUCUCGGGGUCUGCAUCCCUGGGGGUUCUUAUCUCUCUUGGUCCCCAUCCCUGGGGGUCUCUAUCUCUGGGGUUCGAUCUCUGAGUCUCCCCAUCCCUGGGGGUCUCCACCUCCAGGAGUCCCCAUCUCUGGGGGUCCCUGUCCCUCGGUAUCCCCAUCUCUGUUGAUCCCCAUCCCUGGGGGUCCCAGUUCCUGGGGGUUCCAUCUCUGAGUCUCCCCAUCUCUGGGGGUCCCUGUCCCUGGGUGUCCCCAUCUCUGAGUCUCCCCAUCCCUGGGGGUCUCCAACACCCCAGGCUCCCCAUCUCUGAAGAUCCCCAUCCCUGGGGGUCCCAUCCCUGUUGAUCCCCAUUUCUGGGGGUCCCUGCCCCUGGGUAUCCCCAUCUCUGGGGGUCUCCAUCCCUGUGGGUCCCCAUCUAUUGUGGUCUACAUCUCUGGCUCCCCAUCCCUGGGGGUCUCUGUCCCUGGGGGUCCCCAAAUCCCCAUUUCUAGGGGUCCCAUCCCUGCUAUCCCCAGCUCUGUUCAUCCCCAUCCCUGUUGGUCCCCCAUCCCUGGGGGUCCCCGUCUCUGCAGC